GAAAUAUAGUAUAUUAAGCUUCUAACUUAAAAAAUAGCGAUUAAACGUUAAUAUUUCU
RNAcentral lists this transfer RNA (58 nucleotides) under Bostrichoidea sp. 5 KM-2017. Its description in RNAcentral is "tRNA-Ser". The record is from RNAcentral. Lineage: Eukaryota; Metazoa; Arthropoda; Insecta; Coleoptera.